AGCCCUGCUCUGGGGAGGUGCCAUUCUGAGGGCCAGGAGUUUGGUUAUGUGUCACUCUGGCUGCUAUGGCCCCCUCCCAGGGUCUGGGC
Molecule: microRNA precursor, 89 nt
Filed under: Myotis davidii
Lineage: Eukaryota; Metazoa; Chordata; Mammalia; Chiroptera; Vespertilionidae
Description: mir-3085 microRNA precursor family
Rfam family: mir-3085 microRNA precursor family
Source: Rfam by way of RNAcentral